This 218-nucleotide non-coding RNA is filed under the name Nitrospirota bacterium. Lineage: Bacteria; Pseudomonadati; Nitrospirota. The record is from RNAcentral.
GAAGUUCAAUACAGUAAUCAUUUCACGGGAAUGGUGAAGCGGAAAGGGGUGAAAAUCCCCUGCUGUCGCGCAACUGUGAUGGAAACGAAAGCCUGUUUUGCCACUGGGAUAACUGUUUAAACGGUUGAAACGGUUUAAGCCGUUUACACUGUCAACCUGGGAAGGCCGGUGAGUAGGAUGUCCUGAGCCAGGAGACCUCUCAUUCCCCCAACUUCGAU